AUGGCUGCGACCAGUCUAGUGGGUAUUUGUAGAAGAGCCCCAGCGUUCCUGAAGGCUGCUUGCUCCCUAGUAAAUCCCAAGGACCCUUCUCACUCAGGUCACAGGUCUUCUCUUAGUUUGUUGCAUAAGAACACACCACAUGUCACAUCUUUUCUCCAGUGUAAAUUACUUCAUACCACACUGCCAAGGAGAGGACUAGCAGAAUUUUUUGAUGAUCCAAAGAAUGGGGGAGGAGGGAGAAAAAGUCAAAUCUGGAGCUUUAUGGACCUGCCAGCAGCUGAGAAACAAAAGCAAUGAAAACUUACAGAAGCUUUGGUAUGCGCUUCUGAAGGAAAGAACCAUGCUUCUAACUCUAGAACAGGAGGCCACGUGAUGAGAUUGCCAAUGCCAAGUCCAGAGUGGUUAGAAAAGGUUGUUGAUUCCAUGGAUGCCUUAGAUAAAGUUGUCUAGGAGAGGGAAGAUGCUUUAGGCUUCUUCAGAUUGGUCAAGAAAAACCAAGACCUGAUGCUUGGAAAAGCAUCUUUGGACGAAUCGUCUGGCACAAAUUCAAGCACUGGCCUAUACUUUGGUGCCUAAAUAAAAGAUACAACAGGAGGCGGUUCUUCGCAGUGCCUUAUGUGGAUCGAUUUAUCAGACUAAGCAUUGAGAAACACACCCGUAUUGAAGCAAGAAAGGGAAGUUUACAGAAAAAGAAAGAAAGAAUUCUCCAGGAAAAAGUUCCCACAUCUCUCUCAAGACUAGAAAUCAAGUACCGUC
This 756-nucleotide long non-coding RNA is filed under the name Mus musculus (house mouse). Its description in RNAcentral is "long non-coding RNA chr2:150305760-150306516". The record is from RNAcentral. Lineage: Eukaryota; Metazoa; Chordata; Mammalia; Rodentia; Muridae.